Molecule: long non-coding RNA, 666 nt
Filed under: Capra hircus (goat)
Lineage: Eukaryota; Metazoa; Chordata; Mammalia; Artiodactyla; Bovidae
Description: lncRNA (ENSCHIG00010016365.1)
Source: RNAcentral
AUGACGGGUAGUAGGCGACAGAAGAGAGAGAGAGGGCAGGAGGGCCACUGGCUGUGGCAACGGCGAGCUGGUUGGCAACCAGGGUUCAGGGGAGCUGGGAAUGAGAGCAGGGGAGGGAGCAGGACUGCAGUUCAUAGGAGGGGAUGGCGCGGAGGUCAAAGGGGAGAGAGGAGACAACUGCGUGGCAGUGAAGGGGGGAAGGUCCUAGAAAGGAUGCCUCUGAGGAUGUGGGGGCUCAAUGUGCUGCAGGAUGAAGGGAGGCUCCAGGGAGCGGGGAGGGCNNNNNNAUGGGGAGAUGGGACAGAGGGUCAGGGAGGUGUGGAGGCCUCGGUCCUGGUAGGACUCCCAUCGUGCGGGCUGGUGGUUGGGGUGGUCUUUGCUAUCAGACAAAUCCUUCUGGGGUCAUGGUGUGUUGUUUACCCAAGGAUCUUCUUCUCAUUCUGUCUCCCCUCCAGGCACUUUUGUCCCAGAGCCAGGAGGCAGACAGAGCCAGCGCUAAGUCAGAGCUGCCUGAGGAAGACUCCACACGCGUUUCCCUUGAGCUGGUCUGCAGGCCCCUCCGGCUGGGACCCUGUCCUAGGAGCUGCCCGUCUGCAAACAGGUCCAGGCCAAACCCAGAGCCGCCUCCUUCACGGUCAUCUCACCGCCUAUCCUAGUGUUUUCUGA